Molecule: long non-coding RNA, 1829 nt
Organism: Mytilus californianus (California mussel)
Lineage: Eukaryota; Metazoa; Mollusca; Bivalvia; Mytilida; Mytilidae
Exons: 4
Source: RefSeq, a predicted model, not a curated record
CUGCUCCAGAUUAUUCUGAGGAUCAAACUCAACCAAAGAUUUGAUGAGUAGAAGCCUUAAUACAAAUUUGAAGAGGAUCUGAUAAGAAACAAAAGCACUAUCCCAGAGACAAGAGUUAAUAUGGAAUAUUUUUUUCUAGUCCUCCAACCCAAUAAAAAGGUUCCCAAAUUCAGAUUUUUCAGAUUCUUUUUUUUUUAUUCAACAACAGUAUUGCACAUGCUGUUAACAAUUACUCCACUGACACAGCUAUCUCAGUGAAGGUCCUGUUAACAAUUACUCCACUGACACAGCUAUCUCAGUGAAGGUCCUGUUAACAAUUACUCCACUGACACAGCUAUCUCAGUGAAGGUCCCCCACGCUGUUAACAAUUACUCCACUGAUACAGCUAUCUCAGUGAAGGUCCCCCACGCUGUUAACAAUUACUCCACUGAUACAGCUAUCUCAGUGAAGGUCCCUGUUAACAAUUACUCCACUGACACAGCUAUCUCAGUGAAGGUCCCUGUUAACAAUUACUCCACUGACACAGAUAUCUCAGUGAAGGUCCCCCACGCUGUUAACAAUUACUCCACUGAUACAGCUAUCUCAGUGAAGGUCCCUGUUAACAAUUACUCCACUGACACAGCUAUCUCAGUGAAGGUCCCCCACGCUGUUAACAAUUACUCCACUGAUACAGCUAUCUCAGUGAAGGUCCCCCACGCUGUUAACAAUUACUCCACUGACACAGCUAUCUCAGUGAAGGUCCCCCACGCUGUUAACAAUUACUCCACUGACACAGCUAUCUCAGUGAAGGUCCCUGUUUCAUUAGUACCAGAAGUUCAGGGAUUCUUCAGGUAGAUAAACUGCAUAUUGUUAGUCGUUUACAAAAAUAUUAAUAUAACAUCAAUAAAAUAAAUAAUGUCAUUAUUUUAAUGUAUUUGUAUCAACUGCUGAACUAGCGUUAACAUGCAAGAGAUAAACAGAAUUUCAUAGCUCAUCUGAGAUUGGGUCCUUUGUUUGUAACAAAAAAUUUGAAGUUCAUUCAACAUAUUGAAAAGUAUCAGCACACAGGAAGUAGGUGUAUGACAUCUGAAAAGUGCUCACACAUUAUAAUUACAACUAAUCACUGCAAAGCUGCUGAUCAAAUAUGAAGUCAUUCUGUUCAAUAGUUCCAUAGAAAAACGUGACAAAAAUAUGUCUACUUAUAAAGUACGGCAGAUGUACAACCUACAUGUACCUAAACAUUGUGAAAGGGUCACACAUGGAUAUUUUCGUUAUGUAUCAAAUACCUAGUAUUGUUCAAUUAUCUUUAAUCACCUAAUUAGCAGAAGUGAUAAAACUUCCAAAGGCUAAUUAUAUUUGUACCUUUUACAGGAAGUAGGCGUCUGAAAGAUCUGAAAAGUGCACAUAUGGUACAACUCAUUGUGGUCAAGCUGCUGACCAAAUAUGAAGUUGUUCUGUUUAAUUGUUCCUGAGAAAAGUGUGACAAAAAUAUUUGUGGACAAACAAGACAGAAAAGUUGAAUGCAAUAAUCACCUGAUUAGUAGAAGCCAAUUAUUAACAGAGGUGAUAAAACUUAUAAAGGCUAAUUAUAUUUGUACCUUUAUGUUUAUGUCCCUUAAUUACACAAUGAGGUAAAAUAUUAACUGGAAAGGAAGAAAGACAUGUAAUUCAAAAAGUGCAUUAGUGAAAAGGCAGAUGGAUAAUCAUAUUUGUACUUUUAGGUCAAUGUCAGUUAAUAGGAGUAAUGACACAAUCAGGUACCAAUUUUACCAUUACGGCUGAAAGACAUGUAAUUUGAAAAGUUUAUUUUUGAAAAUGCACUAGAGUGUUUUUUUGCCCUGUACAGUAAA